Long non-coding RNA from Panicum virgatum (switchgrass), 1688 nucleotides. RefSeq lists it as uncharacterized. NCBI's taxonomy places the organism in Eukaryota, Viridiplantae, Streptophyta, Magnoliopsida, Poales, Poaceae. The record is from RefSeq and is a predicted model, not a curated record. The transcript has 3 exons.
CUCCCCCAGCGAGGUGUGCCGGAUCCGCGCCCCUCCUAUGCUGAAUCCGCGAACGGCGGAGGCCGGAUUCGCCGCCCCCCGGGCCGGUGAGCGGCCUCCUCCCUCCCCCAGCAAGGUGCGCGAGGCGCUCCUUCGGCCUCCCUCGCCUUCCUCCCCCUCCUCCUCCCUCGAUUUGGGUCGGCGGCGGCCGGAUCCACCCCUCUGUCUCCAUGGAGGGCGGCGAGGUCGGCGGCCUCGACGGCUCCAGCUGGCGGCGAGCUCGGCUCGGCUCCGGUGCGGCCCACACCUCCAUCCUCCCUCCUCCCAGUCCCAGGCCGUGAACGAGCCGGCCGCCACACCCGCGAUCUGGGACCUACUCCCAGUCAAAGGCAUCCUCCUUCGAUGCGUCCGGUGGAAGACGGUGCCACCGAUUCGGAUCUUGCUGCCCCUGCCCAUCUGCACUGCGCUCCGAGAGAAGUGACCAAUAUUCAGAUCAUAAAGAUAUUCAAUGGUGAUGAAGUACGCUAUAUAAAUGAGUUGCCUGAAUGAAGAAUCAUAUGGCUCUGAUGGUGAAGCUUCCGAUGGGGAUGCGGUCUUGGCUGUGGCGAGCAAGAACAGCAUGGUGAGAACCUGUUGCUGGUCCUCAAUCAAGGUGUGGCUCUCUGCCAGCUGCCAUGCUGUUGUUGCUGCUCUCUACUUGCCGACACAACCACGGUGAGUUUGGAAAAUACAGAAUGUAUUUCCAGGUAGCAAAAGAAGGAACCGAAAUACAGUUACCAUGUAGUAUUUCAAUAUCACUGCAUCAGCCAUUCUAUUCUCAAUCAAUCUGAACUUCAGCAUUACUUGUAUGGGAUCCGCCGAUUAUUGUGUGACCAGAGCUUACAGUCGUAUGAACAGAGCUAUAUGUUGAUUUCAGGCUUGCUUCAUCAAACUGAAAGAUAUUGCGUGAGAUACUGACAUUUAUUUGUGCUGUUGUUGAUACUGACAACAAAAUUCAUACCAAGCAAAAAAAUAACUAAAAAUAUUUGGAUUGCAUUUCGUAGGAAUUUUCUGGUGGAUAUCACCCUAAACUUUGUGAUUCAGAAUAAUCCCAUGUGCUGUUGCUGAGUAUAUCAAGUGGGACCUGGGUCCAGGGCUCAAUCUCAGUGAGGCAUUUGGAGCGUUCUUCUGGAGCGCAUAUCUUGGGUUGGCAUUUAGCAAAAAGCUGGAAGCUUUGCUUUCUUUAAGCCUAGAUUUACUUAGCAUAUACUAUGUAUCUUUACUCAAUGUGUAUGAGCCUGUGUUUUUUUGUUGCUUGUUUUUGUCACUAGAACUGGAAUCUCAACGUGUCACUCUUAUAUUCUUGCUGAAUUCUGUUGCAUCUCAUGGAACAAGCAAGUCUUGAUGGACCUUGGCGUCAUGUUUAUUGAAACCAGUGCUAAAGCUGGAUGUAACAUUAAGAUAUGCUUCAGAAUAUAAACUGCUUACAUGUCUCCUUUCAGAGUAGUGUGUUUUUUGUUUAGGAAGGCCUUUAUUUUUCUGCCAAUCACUGACCAUCACAAACUUGUGAGCAUGUGCUGUUCUGUAAAAUUGCUGCUGCACUUCUGGAAUGGAGACACUCUCAUCAGCGAAGCAGGAAGGCAUGGUUGAUGUGAACUUGAGGUCCGGCAAUGCAAACUCGUCCCAUUCUCAGAUUUGGAAUUUGCAAAUAGCGGAAGAAAUAUGUUCAC